RNAcentral lists this ribosomal RNA (253 nucleotides) under uncultured bacterium. RNAcentral's name for it is "partial 16S ribosomal RNA". It matches the Rfam family "Bacterial small subunit ribosomal RNA", at positions 524 to 776 of the family's 1533-position model. The record is from RNAcentral.
GACGUAGGGCGCGAGCGUUGUCCGGAUUUAUUGGGCGUAAAGAGCUCGUAGGCGGCUUGUUACGUCGUUCGUGAAAACUUGGGGCUCAACCCCAAGCUUGCGGUCGAUACGGGCAGGCUAGAGUUCGGUAGGGGAGACUGGAAUUCCUGGUGUAGCGGUGAAAUGCGCAGAUAUCAGGAGGAACACCGGUGGCGAAGGCGGGUCUCUGGGCCGAUACUGACGCUGAGGAGCGAAAGCGUGGGGAGCGAACAGG